Molecule: ribosomal RNA, 700 nt
Filed under: uncultured Clostridium sp.
Lineage: Bacteria; Bacillati; Bacillota; Clostridia; Eubacteriales; Clostridiaceae
Description: bacterial SSU rRNA
Rfam family: Bacterial small subunit ribosomal RNA
Source: RNAcentral
GCGCUUAACACAUGCAAGUCGAGCGAUGAAAUUUCGACAGAUCCCUUCGGGGUGAAGAUGAAAUGGAUUAGCGGCGGACGGGUGAGUAACACGUGAGUAACCUGCCUUAGACAUUGGGAUAGCCUCGGGAAACCGGGAUUAAUACCAAAUGAAAUCACAUAUGCACAUGCAUAAAUGAUCAAAGCUCCGGCGGUCUAAGAUGGACUCGCGUCCCAUUAGCUAGUUGGUGAGGUAACGGCCCACCAAGGCGACGAUGGGUAGCCGGCCUGAGAGGGUGAACGGCCACAUUGGAACUGAGAAACGGUCCAAACUCCUACGGGAGGCAGCAGUGGGGAAUAUUGCACAAUGGAGGGAACUCUGAUGCAGCGACGCCGCGUGAACGAAGAAGGCUUUCGAGUCGUAAAGUUCUUUUAUAUGGGAAGAUAAUGACGGUACCAUAAGAAAAAGCCCCGGCUAACUACGUGCCAGCAGCCGCGGUAAUACGUGGGGGGCUAGCGUUGUCCGGAAUCACUGGGCGUAAAGGGUUCGCAGGCGGAAAUGCAAGUCAGGUGUAAAAGGCAGUAGCUUAACUACUGUAAGCAUUUGAAACUGCAUAUCUUGAGAAGAGUAGAGGUAAGUGGAAUUUUUAGUGUAGCGGUGAAAUGCGUAGAUAUUAAAAAGAAUACCGGUGGCGAAGGCGACUUACUGGGCUCAUUCUGAC